This 495-nucleotide ribosomal RNA is filed under the name uncultured bacterium. Its description in RNAcentral is "partial 16S ribosomal RNA". It matches the Rfam family "Bacterial small subunit ribosomal RNA", at positions 28 to 507 of the family's 1533-position model. The record is from RNAcentral.
GACGAACGCUGGCAGCGUGCCUAAUACAUGCAAGUAGAACGCUGAAGGAGGAGCUUGCUUCUCUGGAUGAGUUGCGAACGGGUGAGUAACGCGUAGGUAACCUGCCUGGUAGCGGGGGAUAACUAUUGGAAACGAUAGCUAAUACCGCAUAAGAGUAGAUGUUGCAUGACAUUUGCUUAAAAGGUGCAAUUGCAUCACUACCAGAUGGACCUGCGUUGUAUUAGCUAGUUGGUGGGGUAACGGCUCACCAAGGCGACGAUACAUAGCCGACCUGAGAGGGGGAUCGGCCACACUGGGACUGAGACACGGCCCAGACUCCUACGGGAGGCAGCAGUAGGGAAUCUUCGGCAAUGGACGGAAGUCUGACCGAGCAACGCCGCGUGAGUGAAGAAGGUUUUCGGAUCGUAAAGCUCUGUUGUAAGAGAAGAACGAGUGUGAGAGUGGAAAGUUCACACUGUGACGGUAUCUGACCAGAAAGGGACGGCUAACUACGUG